GACGAACGCUGGCGGCGUGCUUAACACAUGCAAGUCGAGCGGUAAGGCCCUUUCGGGGGUACACGAGCGGCGAACGGGUGAGUAACACGUGGGUGACCUGCCUUUAGCUCUGGGAUAAGCCUGGGAAACUGGGUCUAAUACCGGAUAUGACUCCAUAGUGCAUGCUUGUGGGGUGGAAAGCCUUGUGCGGCUAGGGAUGGGCCCGCGGCCUAUCAGCUUGUUGGUGGGGUGAUGGCCUACCAAGGCGACGACGGGUAGCCGGCCUGAGAGGGCGACCGGCCACACUGGGACUGAGACACGGCCCAGACUCCUACGGGAGGCAGCAGUGGGGAAUCUUGCGCAAUGGGCGAAAGCCUGACGCAGCGACGCCGCGUGAGGGAUGACGGCCUUCGGGUUGUAAACCUCUUUCAGUAGGGAAGAAGCGAAAGUGACGGUACCUACAGAAGAAGCACCGGCUAACUACGUGCCAGCAGCCGCGGUAAUACGUAGGGUGCGAGCGUUAUCCGGAAUUAUUGGGCGUAAAGAGCUCGUAGGCGGUUUGUCGCGUCUGUCGUGAAAGUCCGGGGCUUAACCCCGGAUCUGCGGUGGGUACGGGCAGACUAGAGUGCAGUAGGGGAGACUGGAAUUCCUGGU
RNAcentral lists this ribosomal RNA (633 nucleotides) under uncultured Arthrobacter sp. RNAcentral describes it as "bacterial SSU rRNA". It matches the Rfam family "Bacterial small subunit ribosomal RNA", at positions 28 to 674 of the family's 1533-position model. The record is from RNAcentral. Lineage: Bacteria; Bacillati; Actinomycetota; Actinomycetes; Micrococcales; Micrococcaceae.